Molecule: ribosomal RNA, 253 nt
Filed under: uncultured bacterium
Lineage: Bacteria
Description: partial 16S ribosomal RNA
Rfam family: Bacterial small subunit ribosomal RNA
Source: RNAcentral
UACAGAGGGGGCAAGCGUUGUUCGGAAUUACUGGGCGUAAAGGGCGCGUAGGCGGCCUGCUAAGUCGAACGUGAAAUCCCUGGGCUCAACCCAGGAACUGCGUCCGAUACUGGUUGGCUUGAAUCCGGGAGAGGGAUGUGGAAUUCCAGGUGUAGCGGUGAAAUGCGUAGAUAUCAGGAGGAAUACCGAUGGCGAAGGCAGGUCCCUGGGCCAAUACUGACGCUCAUGCACGAAAGCGUGGGGAGCAAACAGG